RNAcentral lists this ribosomal RNA (393 nucleotides) under uncultured bacterium. RNAcentral describes it as "partial 16S ribosomal RNA". It matches the Rfam family "Bacterial small subunit ribosomal RNA", at positions 523 to 918 of the family's 1533-position model. The record is from RNAcentral.
AUACGGAAGGUCCGGGCGUUAUCCGGAUUUAUUGGGUUUAAAGGGAGCGCAGGCGGAGAUGCAAGCGUGACGUCAAAUUUCGGGGCUCAACCCCGUCUCGCGUCGCGAACUGCGUCCCUUGGUUGCGGGAAGGGGAGGCGGAACUCGUGGUGUAGCGGUGAAAUGCAUAGAUAUCACGAAGAACUCCGAUCGCGAAGGCAGCCUUCCGGCCCGUCAACGACGCUCAUGCUCGAAGGUGCGGGUAUCAAACAGGAUUAGAUACCCUGGUAGUCCGCACAGUAAACGAUGGACACCCGCGGUUUGGCCUGUAUGGCUGAGCCGCCAAGCGAAAGCGUUAAGUGUCCCACCUGGGGAGUACGCAGGCAACGGUGAAACUCAAAUGAAUUGGCGGGG